RNAcentral lists this ribosomal RNA (465 nucleotides) under Vreelandella stevensii. Its description in RNAcentral is "partial 16S ribosomal RNA". It matches the Rfam family "Bacterial small subunit ribosomal RNA", at positions 338 to 795 of the family's 1533-position model. The record is from RNAcentral. Lineage: Bacteria; Pseudomonadati; Pseudomonadota; Gammaproteobacteria; Oceanospirillales; Halomonadaceae.
CCUACGGGCGGCAGCAGUGGGGAAUAUUGGACAAUGGGCGAAAGCCUGAUCCAGCCAUGCUGCGUGUGUGAAGAAGGCCUUCGGGUUGUAAAGCACUUUCAGUGGGGAAGAAAGCCUUGGGGCUAAUACCCACGAGGAAGGACAUCACCCACAGAAGAAGCACCGGCUAACUCCGUGCCAGCAGCCGCGGUAAUACGGAGGGUGCGAGCGUUAAUCGGAAUUACUGGGCGUAAAGCGCGCGUAGGCGGUCUGAUAAGCCGGUUGUGAAAGCCCCGGGCUCAACCUGGGAACGGCAUCCGGAACUGUCAGGCUAGAGUGCAGGAGAGGAAGGUAGAAUUCCCGGUGUAGCGGUGAAAUGCGUAGAGAUCGGGAGGAAUACCAGUGGCGAAGGCGGCCUUCUGGACUGACACUGACGCUGAGGUGCGAAAGCGUGGGUAGCAAACAGGAUUAGAUACCCCAGUAGUC